RNAcentral lists this ribosomal RNA (785 nucleotides) under uncultured bacterium. Its description in RNAcentral is "bacterial SSU rRNA". It matches the Rfam family "Bacterial small subunit ribosomal RNA", at positions 28 to 796 of the family's 1533-position model. The record is from RNAcentral.
GACGAACGCUGGCGGCGUGCCUAAUACAUGCAAGUUGAACGCUGAAGACUGGUACUUGUACCAGUUGGAUGAGUAGCGAACGGGUGAGUAACGCGUGGGUAACCUACCUCUUAGCGGGGGACAACUAUUGGAAACGAUAGCUAAUACCGCAUAACAAUACCUAACACAUGUUAAGUAUUUGAAAGCACCGACUGGUGCACUAAGAGAUGGACCCGCGUUGUAUUAGCUAGUUGGUAGUGUAAUGGACUACCAAGGCGAUGAUACAUAGCCGACCUGAGAGGGUGAUCGGCCACAUUGGGACUGAGACACGGCCCAAACUCCUACGGGAGGCAGCAGUAGGGAAUCUUCGGCAAUGGGGGCAACCCUGACCGAGCAACGCCGCGUGAGUGAAGAAGGUUUUCGGAUCGUAAAACUCUGUUGUUAGAGAAGAACGUCAGUGAGAGUGGAAAGUUCACUGAGUGACGGUAUCUAACCAGAAAGGGACGGCUAACUACGUGCCAGCAGCCGCGGUAAUACGUAGGUCCCGAGCGUUGUCCGGAUUUAUUGGGCGUAAAGCGAGCGCAGGUGGUUUAAUAAGUCUGAUGUAAAAGGCAGUGGCUCAACCAUUGUGUGCAUUGGAAACUGUUAGACUUGAGUGCAGUAGAGGAGAGUGGAAUUCCAUGUGUAGCGGUGAAAUGCGUAGAUAUAUGGAGGAACACCGGUGGCGAAAGCGGCUCUCUGGACUGUAACUGACACUGAGGCUCGAAAGCGUGGGUAGCAAACAGGAUUAGAUACCCUGGUAGUCC